GGGCCGGUAGUGUAGCCAGGCUGCAUAGGCGCUUGAAAACCGCUAGGUCCGGGGUUCGAAUCCCCGCCGGUCCA
RNAcentral lists this transfer RNA (74 nucleotides) under Nitrososphaerota archaeon. Its description in RNAcentral is "Thaumarchaeota archaeon tRNA-Phe". It matches the Rfam family "tRNA". Rfam says of the family: Transfer RNA (tRNA) molecules are approximately 80 nucleotides in length. Their secondary structure includes four short double-helical elements and three loops (D, anti-codon, and T loops). Lineage: Archaea; Thermoproteati; Nitrososphaerota. The record is from RNAcentral.